Molecule: ribosomal RNA, 815 nt
Filed under: uncultured Fusobacterium sp.
Lineage: Bacteria; Fusobacteriati; Fusobacteriota; Fusobacteriia; Fusobacteriales; Fusobacteriaceae
Description: bacterial SSU rRNA
Rfam family: Bacterial small subunit ribosomal RNA
Source: RNAcentral
GAUGAACGCUGACAGAAUGCUUAACACAUGCAAGUCAACUUGAAUUUGGGUUUUUAACUUAGAUUUGGGUGGCGGACGGGUGAGUAACGCGUAAAGAACUUGCCUCACAGCUAGGGACAACAUUUAGAAAUGAAUGCUAAUACCUGAUAUUAUGAUUUUAAGGCAUCUUAGAAUUAUGAAAGCUAUAAGCACUGUGAGAGAGCUUUGCGUCCCAUUAGCUAGUUGGAGAGGUAACAGCUCACCAAGGCGAUGAUGGGUAGCCGGCCUGAGAGGGUGAACGGCCACAAGGGGACUGAGACACGGCCCUUACUCCUACGGGAGGCAGCAGUGGGGAAUAUUGGACAAUGGACCGAGAGUCUGAUCCAGCAAUUCUGUGUGCACGAUGAAGUUUUUCGGAAUGUAAAGUGCUUUCAGUUGGGAAGAAAUAAAUGACGGUACCAACAGAAGAAGUGACGGCUAAAUACGUGCCAGCAGCCGCGGUAAUACGUAUGCCACGAGCGUUAUCCGGAUUUAUUGGGCGUAAAGCGCGUCUAGGUGGUUAUGUAAGUCUGAUGUGAAAAUGCAGGGCUCAACUCUGUAUUGCGUUGGAAACUGUAUAACUAGAGUACUGGAGAGGUAAGCGGAACUACAAGUGUAGAGGUGAAAUUUCUAGAUAUUUGUAGGAAUGCCGAUGGGGAAGCCAUCUUACUUGGACAGAUACUGACGCUUAAGCGCGAAAGCGUGGGUAGCAAAACAAGAUUUAAAUACCCUGGUAGCCAAAGGGCGAAUACCUCAUGGAUAUCACCUUUCUAUCCUUCACCUCUGGGGGGGGGUUG